This 354-nucleotide unclassified non-coding RNA is filed under the name soil metagenome. Its description in RNAcentral is "partial contains 5.8S ribosomal RNA, internal transcribed spacer 2, and large subunit ribosomal RNA". The stretch from base 1 to 120 matches the Rfam family "5.8S ribosomal RNA", at positions 35 to 154 of the family's 154-position model. The record is from RNAcentral.
GAUGAAGAACGCAGCGAAACGCGGUAUGUAAUGUGAAUUGCAGAAUUCAGUGAAUCAUCGAAUCUUUGAACGCACAUGGCGCCUUCCAGUAUCCUGGGAGGCAUGCCUGUCCGAGCGUCGUUUCAACCCUCGAGCCCCCGUGGCCCGGCGUUGGGGAUCUGCCCAGGCAGUCCCCGAAAACCAGUGGCGGACCCGUUACAGGCCCUUCCCUUGCGUAGUAGCAUUCGCCUCGCAUCGGGAGCCGGCGGGCUUCCAGCCUCUAAACCCCCAUCAAGUCCGCCCCGGCGGCACCAAGGUUGACCUCGGAUCAGGUAGGAAUACCCGCUGAACUUAAGCAUAUCAAUAAGCGGAGGA